This 720-nucleotide ribosomal RNA is filed under the name uncultured bacterium. Its description in RNAcentral is "bacterial SSU rRNA". It matches the Rfam family "Bacterial small subunit ribosomal RNA", at positions 392 to 1119 of the family's 1533-position model. The record is from RNAcentral.
CGACACCGCGUGAAGGAUGAAGGCCCUCGGGUUGCAAACUUCUUUCMGUKGGGAAGAAGCGAAAGUGGCGGUACCCACAGAAGAAGCCCCGGCCAACUACGUGCCAGCAGCCGCGGUAAUACGUAGGGGGCAAGCGUUGUCCGGAUUCAUUGGGCGUAAAGAGCUCGUAGGCGGCUUGGCAAGUCGGUCGUGAAAUACCGAGGCUCAACCUCGGAACGCCGAUCGAAACUGCCAUGGCUAGGGUCCGGUAGAGGAGAGUGGAAUUCCCGGUGUAGCGGUGAAAUGCGCAGAUAUCGGGAGGAACACCAGUAGCGAAGGCGGCUCUCUGGGCCGGUACCGACGCUGAGGAGCGAAAGCGUGGGGAGCAAACAGGAUUAGAUACCCUGGUAGUCCACGCCGUAAACGUUGGGUACUAGGUGUGGCGGGUUCAUCAAUGCCUGCCGUACCGAAGCUAACGCAUUAAGUACCCCGCCUGGGGAGUACGGUCGCAAGGCUAAAACUCAAAGGAAUUGACKGGGGSCCGCACAAGCGGCGGAGCAUGCGGCUUAAUUCGAUGCAACGCGAAGAACCUUACCUGCCCUUGACAUCCUCGGAACUUGUCAGAGAUGACUUGGUGCCUUCRGGAACCGAGUGACAGGUGCUGCAUGGCUGUCGYCAGCUCGUGUCGUGAGAUGUUGRGUUAAGUCCCGCAACRAGCGCAACCCUUGGUWCUUAGUUGCC